AUUGAGAUAUUCGGCAUACUAUUUUAUACGAAUUAUUCUUUUAGAUGUUUGGAACAUCUACUUUAGGCUCUGACUUUGUUUUUUGUGUGUAAAUCAAAAACAGUAGUAACAAAAACAUGAUAUUAUUUUAUUGUAUAAAAGAAUGACAUUUCAUUCCAAAUAGAUAUAGUUAGCAAUAAUCUUCACAAACUUUAAAUAAUAAUUUAUUUACAGUGCCUAACUUAAAUAAGAAAACUAGCCUUCAAUACAAUUAACGUUUUUAAUAGAUUGGUGUUCAGAUCCAGAUGGAGUAGUGCGAUCGUCUUGACUAGCUGAAGCUCCUUCAAGCGGAGGGCCGUUGGAACCGAAUGGCAUGCCCUCAGUGCUGUAUGCCACAUCGCCUGUUCCCACAUAUUCAGAUGGCUGGGGGUAGAGCGGCGCUGGUGCUGCAGCGGGUGCGGAGGAGCUCGUGGGCGGCGUGGGCGCGUACUCGAUGGGCGCGGGGUACGCGUGCGGCGGCGUGCGGUACGGAGCUGGGGACGCGUUCGGCUGAG
Long non-coding RNA from Maniola jurtina (meadow brown), 533 nucleotides. RefSeq lists it as uncharacterized. The transcript has 3 exons. The record is from RefSeq and is a predicted model, not a curated record. Lineage: Eukaryota; Metazoa; Arthropoda; Insecta; Lepidoptera; Nymphalidae.